Molecule: ribosomal RNA, 466 nt
Filed under: uncultured bacterium
Lineage: Bacteria
Description: bacterial SSU rRNA
Rfam family: Bacterial small subunit ribosomal RNA
Source: RNAcentral
UGGAGGAAAGUAGGGGAUCGAAAGACCUUAUGCUUUUGGAGCGGCCGAUGUCUGAUUAGCUAGUUGGUAAGGUAAUGGCUUACCAAGGCAACGAUCAGUAGUUGGUCUGAGAGGACGACCAGCCACACUGGGACUGAGACACGGCCCAGACUCCUACGGGAGGCAGCAGUGGGGAAUUUUGGACAAUGGGCGCAAGCCUGAUCCAGCAAUGCCGCGUGAGUGAAGAAGGCCUUCGGGUUGUAAAGCUCUUUCAGUUGAGAAGAAAAGAUUGUGACUAAUAAUUGCAAUUCAUGACGGUAUCAACAGAAGAAGCACCGGCUAACUACGUGCCAGCAGCCGCGGUAAUACGUAGGGUGCGAGCGUUAAUCGGAAUUACUGGGCGUAAAGGGUGCGCAGGCGGUUCUGUAAGUCAGAUGUGAAAUCCCCGGGCUUAACCUGGGAACUGCGUUUGAAACUACAAGGCUAG